Molecule: long non-coding RNA, 968 nt
Organism: Canis lupus familiaris (dog)
Lineage: Eukaryota; Metazoa; Chordata; Mammalia; Carnivora; Canidae
Exons: 3
Source: RefSeq, a predicted model, not a curated record
UGCCGUGGCCGAUUUGGGAACAUACAGUUCAGUAGGGUAAGAAUCACAAACCUGUCACGGAAAAUACAUGGGGAUUUUAAGGCCAUCUAGUAAUGCCUUGUGAACUGCCACAAGAAAUUCCAUUCACCAUACUUACUUCUAAGGUGCACAUUUAAGUUUUCUUAAUCAAGUUACAGAGACUAUUUUGAGGAAACCAACAGCCACUUCAGAGAAGUGAGGAGCUGUUGAUUCCAUGAAAUCAUGGCAAAGGAGAGCAAACACCAUCCUUUGGCACGGUCCCUUCUGAGGGCACUCUGAGUGGCAAGAUAGCAACAGGUGAGCAUUUCUUUCAUCAAAAAUGAAGAAAUUAUAAUUCGGCAUCUUGGUAGCUGAAAAAAGUUCAGCUGCCUGUUUGGAGUGAAAGAUAGCCCACCAGUGGGAGGCAAGUGCCAGCAGUGAGCCCCCCAGGGGAACCUCUCCGUCCCUGGCACACCCCAGGCUCACUCUUGCCUCUGAGCUGGCAGUCAAGGCCAUGCCCUCCCUGGAUAUUUCUCCCCCUCGAUCCUCCCAAAUCUUCUCCAUUCUUCAAGAGACAACCCAACUCCACCUCUUUCAAGAAGCUUCCUCCCAAAGCCUCCAGCUCAGGGAAGCCUCUUGGUGACCUUGUGUACCAAUCAAGAGUUCAGUGAGUACAGAGAGGAGCUGGUGCCAGACUGCCAUCAGAGUCUCUGUGACUUCCCCACUAAUCACUCGCUACACUAUAAAAAGAGCUGAUGGGAGAACUUGGCACUGGCCGGCUCUCCCCACCACUGCCUGGCGAAGAGGCCCACCACUGGGCUUCUCUGGGUCUCCAGCUCCUCAAUCAUGAGGGAAAGUUGCAGGUAAGAAUUGCACUUGUAAUAACCAAGGGAGACUUGUAAAUCCACAGAUCUAUAUCUACAAAGAGCUAUAAAAACUAAAGGAGAUUAAACAGAAGUCACACUAAGCUA